AGGCUUUGGUUUCUCUUCAAAACGAAUACAUCUUUUGCCUUUUACUGCAGAUUUCCGUGGAGAGUAACAGCUGUUAGUAACUUUUUUUUUUUUUUUUUUUUUAGGGGUCCUGCUUGGGCAGGGCCAAGUAAAAAAGA
Cercocebus atys (sooty mangabey) is the source of this 137-nucleotide small nuclear RNA. Its record names the gene U5. It matches the Rfam family "U5 spliceosomal RNA". From Rfam's summary of the family: U5 RNA is a component of both types of known spliceosome. The record is from Ensembl. Lineage: Eukaryota; Metazoa; Chordata; Mammalia; Primates; Cercopithecidae.